CACAAAGAUGAGCCUUGUCCAUUCCUCAGUUUGGCUGACUCUGCCAAAAAUCUGCUAAUUCAUUUUCCCUGUGCAGGAGAGUCGGACUCAGCUUCUCACCCUCACACAGCCUUCUCUGGCCUCAGUGACUGGGUACAGGCUGAGAGAAGCUGACCUCAGCCCAACAAAAACACAGCCUGUAUCCUCCAAGAUCCCUGCCAGGAGCCACUGCCCAGCAAAAAUCUGAGGAAGAUCUUACCAGAAGGUCUAGCCUGGCUUUCCCAGAUGGCUGGAGUCAUCUCUCAGCACCUGUGUAAAGUAUCUCCCAGCCCACCUCAGCCAUCCACCACCAGCCUGACACAGACAAGGUUCCUUAUGCAUGACAACUCGGGACAGUGCUACAGUCUAGAGCAGAGGCGAUAGGAUUCUUCAUAGCAGCCAACCUAUGCUGGUCACCUAGCCUCACUCCUUCCUGCUUCAGAAACAAGAAGCUCAACAGAAACCUGGGAGCCUCAGUGGCCCUCGCUAAAAACCUCCGAGGCGUGCCUAGACACAUCUUCCCAGGCAUGGUGGUACACACCCAUUAUUCCAGCACUCAAGAGGCUGAGACGAGAGGAUUGCCAGGAUUUCAAAACUACCCCAAUCUACAUGUAAGAACUGUUCCAACUAACAACCAAGGGCAGCAGUUCUGUUGAUCAGCAGAGCGGGCCUGUACCAGCUGUGACGAUAUUCAUCUCUGCCCCGCCUUAUUGGCUGCCCUCACCAGCUGACAGAUGGACCAAUCGUGUUACUGUAGAGGGGUUCACUCCUUGUCUGGCCAUCAGCAGGUGGGCCUGUCAUAGCAGGUCUUUCUCACAUGGCAGUCAGGUGACACUUAUGCUUUGUGUUUAAGGGAAACCAUCAACCAAAACAUCUAUGGUCAAACCCACAGUCAGUGUGAAGGGGGCACGGAUCUGGAGGACCAUCAAUGCAGGGACCAGCCAUGAUCUGCCUUCUACUAAAGCGUCAAAAGCCCCCCACAAGCACAGUCGACCUUCAAGAAACACCCAUCAUAUCGUCUGUCAGUGCUGUCAAGUCCCCAGUACAGCCUCUGUGUUUUCCAGUGUUUUCAGGUGACCCUGUGAAAGCAUCAUUCAACCCCCAAAGGGAUCUCAACCCACAGGAUCUCAAGGCAGUAUUGCAGCUAAAGAGAUCCCCAUAUUUCUGGGCUCUUGGUCCUAGCUUCUUUUGUUUUGUUUUGCUUUUUGUGUUUUUAUUUUUGUUUUUCGAGACAGGGUUUCUCUGUGUAGCUUUGGAGCCUGUCCUGGAACUUACUCUGUAGACCAGGCUGGCCUCGAACUCACAGAGAUCCGCCUGCCUCUGCCUCCCAAGUGCUGGUAUUGAAGGUGUGCACCACCAACGCCUGGCUUGGUCCUAGCCUCUACACAUCCCUUCUUCCUCCUCCUCUCCUCUUGUGUGGCACAUGUGAGUAUGUAUGGAUGCACUCCCCAGAGCACUCACAUGGAGAGGCCAAAGGUGGACUCUAGCAUCUUCCUCAAUUACUCUUGAUCUUAUUAUUUUCAAAGACUUAAUUUACUUGUAUUUAUGUGGGUGCCUGUGUGGCCAUCAGAUCUUCUGGAGCUGUAGAUACCGGUGAUGGUGAACAGCCUGACAGCUGGGAACUGAACUCUAGUCUACUUUAAGAUGAGCCAAGAGUUCUUAACUACUGGCCCUCUCUCCAGCCCUCUCUGCCUUAUGUUUAGUCUCUCACUGAACCUUGAGCUCACUGCUUAGACUAGACAGACUGGCCAGUGAGCUCCCAGGAUCAACCUGUUUCUGCCCACCACCAGCACUCACCCCUUCAUUGAGAGAACUACAGGCAUAUGCUGCCACACACAACUUUUUAAAUGGGUUCUGUCAAUCAAAUCCAGGUCCUCCCUUUACCCACUGAGUCAUCUCCCAGACCCUCCCCUUCUUUUCCCUGAGAAAAAGCUAACCAGUGCUUAGACCUGCUUGCUGUCCAUAGAAAGUUGGAAUGUAUUUUCAAACUGGAUCAUGUCCGGUCCUUCGGGGUGCAAAUUUCUGCAGCUUUGUCCAAUAUAACAUUCUUUUAAAACCCUGUGGGUUUUUUGUGAGUCUAACUCGGAUCCAUGUGUGCACUAAACACCACACCCAUGGUUAAUUUCAAAGACUCUAUUCUUGCUGCUGUGGGCACCUCUAAUACGCUCAGAAGCCCUUCCCUCAAGCUGAAAGUUUCUGCCAAACACCACUCGACACUGGCUGGGGUCUUAACAAAGGUCCCAUAGCCACACCCUAAUUCCAUCUUUCCUUUAGGCCAUUUCCUUACUUUAGGAGUCCAUUCCCUCCCAGACAGACAAAAAUGAGGACCAGUUUUACUUUCCAAAGCGCAAACUCAGCAGGAUCUAGCUAGCCCCUCCCUCCACUGUAACAGUCUCACCAGAUCCACAGGCAGCAGAAAGAGAGAGCCACUGGGCCUGGCUUGGGCUUUUGAAACUUUGAAAUCCAUUCCCAGUGACACACUUCCUCCAACAAGGCCUUCUAGUCCUUCUCAAGUAAUGCCACUCCCUGAUGACCAAGCAUUCAAGUACAUGAGUCUAUGGGGGCCCAUUCCUAUUCAAACCAUCACAUACCUAAAUGCAAGGUUUUCUUGUUUCGUUUUGUGUUUUGUUUUAGCAAAAAGGAGGAAUUAGAAGAGAGAUGUGUUUUCCUCUCAGAUUUGGAAUAUGAAGCCCAAGGUUUCAUGGUUGUGGAUCCAUCCGGUCAGCAUCUGGAAAGAGACUUCCUUCCAACUGCUUCUGGGGAGUUUGUAGGAGGAUCACACAGAAGAGAGAUCACACGGAGAGAUGAGACAAAUCCACUCCCUCAAUAACCCACUCAUGAGGAGGAAGGGGAUGGAAGACUCCGAGGAGAAAGUGUCCUCAAACGCAACAGGACUGAAGCACAUUUAAAUUCAGAGAGACUAUGGCAGGAUGCACAGGUUCAAGACAGAAAGGCAGGAAGUUGGCGUAUCUCCCACCCCUAACCGAGGAGCCACCGGCAAUUGACUCUGCUUAAAAGGGAAAACAUUAUUUCUCUUCAGUGGAGUCUCAGUGAGUAUAUUAACCACUUCCAGGGUAGCCCCCUGCCCAGCCAACACACACAAAAAAAAUACUUCAAUGGUAUUUUUAUAGAUUCAGAUUGCUUUGGGCAUUUUUUGUCUUACUGGUCUUUUGCUUGUAUAUUUUAAUUUUUGUUUUUAUAGGGAUCUGGGAUGGGGGGUGAGUUUCUUGGUCUUUUUCUUUUGCAGUUAUUUGUUUUGUUUGCUUGUUUGUUUUUUAAGAAAGAAAGAGAGAGAGCAUGGAGUUGGGUAGGUGGGAAGGAGAGGAGAAUAUGGGAGGAGAAAAGCAUGAUUACCAUAUAUUUUUAUGGGAAAAUUUUCAAAACGGUCUGUUAGCCGGAUUCAGUGGCACACACCUCUAAUCCUGGCACUCAAGAGACUGAGGCAGGGGGACCGUGAGUUCCAGGCCAGCCUGGGUACUGUCUCCUCUUAACUUCUGACUUGUCUCCUAAAAAAUAAUCUGGUUUUGUUUUAUUUUGUUUGAUUGGCUGGGUUUUUUGUUAUUGUUGUUUUUUGUUUUUUGAUGUUUGUUUGUUUGGUUGGUUGGUUGGUUGGUUGGUUAUACUCUCUAAGCAAGCAUGUGGUUCCUUAGGAAACCAACCCAACUUGAAAUUAGGAAAGGAAGCAGAGAGUAUAACAUUGAUUCCAGGAGUCUUUGAACUUCAUAAAUAAGUCAUUUUUCUAAACAAAUUUUUAAAAAAUCAGAAUAAGAGUGUGGAGGGACACACCCUUAAUCCAGGCAGAGGAGCUGGAUCUCUGUGAGUUCAAAGCCAGCCUGGUCUACAGAGAGAGUUCCAGGACAGCCAGAAUAGACCAGAAUCCAUGUAAAGGUGAAAGGAAAGAAAUGAAUCACCAAGUUGCCCUCUGACUUCCAUAUGCAUGCUGUGUCCCGUGCACUCCCACACAUGUGCACACACACACAAUAAAAUUGAUAUUAAUAAUAUUUUUAUUGGAUGUUUAAAAAUCAACAGAAAAGUACUGUCUUCUCCCUCAUUUUUAUUUUGCCACAUAAGGACAUUAAAAACACCAUCAUCACUUAAACAAAAAAGUGGGAAGAUAUACUCUGAAGAUGAAAGUAUAGAAAAGGCAGGUGUGUGGCCUUGACUGGCCCAAAUUCAGAGCUGGAUAUUAAGUGCUGCCUUGACAGCUGAUGAAAUCUGCAGGGUUUUGAGUGUCUCCACUCCCAGAUGAUACUGUCCUCAGCCAGACAACCUUCCCUACGAGGACCAGGUUCAGGUCUUGCUUCUCCCUGAGCAAAGGCUCAGUUCUCCGGAAACCUGCAAGGAUGAAUCAGUCUGCCAGUCCACCAUCCUUCAGGGAACCCAGCCUCACAUCCUUCUGAAUGCCCCCCUCCCCGAAGGCCUGCCUCUCACAGAUCUAGGCUGUACUGUUUCUGGAUGCAAGCCCCUUCUGGCAAUUCUGUGGAUACAGUGUUGUUCUCUGGGUUAUGAGCAUAUGAACCCCAUAAACUGCUUUUGACCCUACCAACUCACCGACUUAUAAGUGUUCAGCCAUCCCAUUAGGCCUGGGAUAGGAACUUUUCCCACAGCAGCUAAGUGAAGACAAGGGGCUGCAAACAUAGUGACAACCUGGCAAUGAUGGCCAAAUACCCCCAUACCAUCUCCUACAUGGGACAGUGAAAUCAUUCUAGAAAAACUUUGAUGGCCCAGGCUAGAAGCACUGGGACACUGUAGAGUCAGUCCAGAGACCUAUGAACUCCUCCAUCCCAGGCCUGGCUCCCCUCCAGAGUAACUUUUGACAAAUCAUUUCCUUUCUCUGUCUUCAGGUCCAGGCUGUAAAUUGAUGGGCAGUUCUGUGACACACACACGCCCCCCCCCCCGACAUUCCAAUAACAUCUAUAAAAUUACCCUAUAUGAUUAUAUUUCUAUGACUGUAAAUGCCCCUAGGUUGUUUUGAUCUUGUGGAGUCUGUCCCAUGUGUCUCAAGCUGGAGCUACAGGAGACAAUAAAAGGAGAGGGGUCCAGGUGACCAACAGAAGACCCUCUUACCUUGACUCAAGUCCUUCCAGAUUUGGGUUUCUGACUUGUCCAUCAAUAAAUAGGAGUUUUUCAGUCUCCUCCCCUUCCCCUCCAUGAUCCCGCCCCAGAUCCUGAAUUGUCUUCUUCAAGACUGAUUCCAUCCAACUAGAGAUGUUGUUCAAGCAGACACUGAGUUUCAAGCUCUCAACAGGCCAUGCUCCCCUCCCCUUCCUGAAGGCAGAGUGCCUGGGGACCCAGAAAGUAGGCCAGGUCCUGGAAACCUUCACAAAGUAGCACAGACAGGCCUCGGAUGGACCUGCAGAGUAGUAUACAGGGCCUCAGGCAGCCUCAGCUCUGACCCCUGCAGCCAACAGCCCUCUCUGUAGCCCAAAUCCUGCCCCAGAAUAAAGGAACCAAGCAGUUCCAGGCCUAAGCUCUGGGAGGAGAAAAUCCCAAACGAAAGCCACUGAACUGAUAGGAAAGAUUCCGGAGUCUGACUCCAAAACCACUAAGCCGAAAGAAACAGACUACAGUCCAGGGACAGAAUAGAGCACGUGCACAAUGAGACAGGAAGGAGGCUGAAUGAAUGAGAAAGAAUGGCAAUGGGAUGAGUAACUGAGACCAGGGCAUCUGGAUCCUGAGAAAUUUCCCACUAUGGACAGUAAAGCUGGGUGUCUAUGAAGAGGGGUGGUUCCUCAGUCCCCAAGCCCUGGGGAGUUUUACCAAAAGCACCCCAGGAGUUCAGUGGCUUACCAGAGGAAUGGCCCCCACUCCUGUAGAAUGUCCUGUCACCUCAAGCACUGAAGGGACUGAAAUUGUAUCUGCAGGCCCAGGGAUGGCUUCCAACAGUGCCAUUACAGUAUUGAAACCUGCAGUGACAGUGCCAGGGCUGACUUCUAUGAAGAAAUAGGAGAAUGAGCAGGCAGAUGGCUGAGAGGUAGGGCUAGCCCACAAGACUUCCCAACCAGAAUUCAGAGACCAGGAGGUUCAAAUCAAACUAGCCUUUUAAAAAUAUAAGGACCAGCCAGAUGGCUUGUCAACAAGCCUGACUACCUGAGUUCAAUCCGCAUGAACCUUGUGGUAGGAGGAGGAACUAGCUCUGGAAAUCUAUCCUCUGGCCUCCAAAUAUGUGCACUCAGCUAUGCACAUACACACACCUGUGUGUAUGUAUAUAUGUACCCAUGUAUAUAUCUAUACAUGUAAACAAUUUUAAAUUUAAUUUAAAAUAAUAAUUAAUACAAGCAAAUAAAUCAUUAGCAAGAGGUAUUUAAAAAGAGCCUCUUGGUGACAUCAGAUUAAUGGGGAAGAAGGGGUAUCCCUGAGGAUCAAACAUCGGGGUUCAACCUUUCCAGUUUAGUCAUGUAUCCCCAUUCUGAGAGUUCUCUCUUUUCUCUGCCACUAGCCGAGGAGCGCAAAGUGAAGUAGCUCAGCACUGAGGGCUUUGGUUCCAAAAUGCCGCAAUUGGUCAGCUUGGCUACUUACCAACCAACCAUGAAGUAACAAGGAGUGGGAUAGGAUGAGUGUUACGAUGGGAGUGGGCAUGGAAUGUGACCAUGGAUGCAAUGAGCCCAGCACAAUGCUUGUUAGAAGGCAGCGCUCCUUCCCUUGUCUGAAGACCAAAUCGGACAUUCUUGUUCUCAUGGAAGUGAGAACAUUGUAGCUGGCUGGGCCAGGAAGUGCCCGCUCAAGAUCAGAGUCAGCAGCAGAAAACACCUGAAGGUGGGCAGGCGUGGGCAGCAGAGACAGGGGCCAGGACAGUGCACCCCUUGCCUUGCUUCCAAAAGGCUGCUCUAGCAUGGAAAACAACCAACCAAUUUCCUUUGCAGAAAGACCAGGCUCCACAGCCAAAACUUGUCACUGGAGGCACCAGCUCAGAGGGAAAGGAGAGGGGAGCUAGCAGGCCUCCCCGCAGCACCCUUCCGUUGUCCAGACUUCUGAAGGCUCUAGCAAGAGAAAGGGUUACAGCCUUAAAAAGAGACCAAGCGGCUCCAGAUAUGAGAAGGAGGCUGCCGCAUCCUAAUUCCAGAAUCCUAAACUGUCUUUUCCCUGAGCGGGCCAGCCAGCCAUAAUUCCGAGGGUACCCCUUCAGGAGCAGCAAGCCACCUACCCACACCCAGCGCGCCGCCCUUGCCCGCCACCCACCCC
Molecule: long non-coding RNA, 7200 nt
Filed under: Cricetulus griseus (Chinese hamster)
Lineage: Eukaryota; Metazoa; Chordata; Mammalia; Rodentia; Cricetidae
Description: lncRNA (ENSCGRG00015039992.1)
Source: RNAcentral